Molecule: ribosomal RNA, 374 nt
Filed under: uncultured organism
Description: bacterial SSU rRNA
Rfam family: Bacterial small subunit ribosomal RNA
Source: RNAcentral
CGGGGGGAGCAAGCGUUGUUCGGAUUUACUGGGCGUAAAGGGCGCGUAGGCGGCCAGCGCAAGUCAGUUGUGAAAUCUCCGAGCUUAACUCGGAAAGGUCAACUGAUACUGCGCGGCUAGAGUGCGGAAGGGGCAACUGGAAUUCUUGGUGUAGCGGUGAAAUGCGUAGAUAUCAAGAGGAACACCUGCGGCGAAGGCGGGUUGCUGGGCCGACACUGACGCUGAGGCGCGAAAGCUAGGGGAGCGAACGGGAUUAGAUACCCCGGUAGUCCUAGCCUUAAACGAUGAAUGCUUGGUGUCUGGGGUUAUAUAGUCCCCGGGUGCCGUCGCUAACGCUUUAAGCAUUCCGCCAGGGGAGUACGGUCGCAAGACUG